Non-coding RNA from Schistosoma margrebowiei, 46 nucleotides. The record is from Rfam. NCBI's taxonomy places the organism in Eukaryota, Metazoa, Platyhelminthes, Trematoda, Strigeidida, Schistosomatidae.
GCACUGCUGAGCAGUCCGACAAUAGGACGAAACGGCCGUCCAGUGC